Sorex fumeus (smoky shrew) is the source of this 127-nucleotide small nucleolar RNA. RefSeq annotates it as small nucleolar RNA SNORA31. NCBI's taxonomy places the organism in Eukaryota, Metazoa, Chordata, Mammalia, Eulipotyphla, Soricidae. The transcript has a single exon. The record is from RefSeq and is a predicted model, not a curated record.
UUGCAUCCACCAAUAGACGUUGCACAGUUUGCUGUUCCUUUUUUGGUUUGCACUAGUGUGCAAAGAGAAAAAACUCCACUGCAUUUUGUAUGUCUCUGGCAGCCAGAUGAAAUAGGGGAGAAUAUCU